AGACACUACACAUUGAGUUGCAUUUCUACGGAAUGCUUGCGUCCUUUUCGCAAUGAAACAUUCAACUGCCCAAAAAGGAUGCAAACAGAGGUGGUGAGCAACCGUGAUGUCAUCGGACGUCAACGUGUUAAUUGCCGGUACAUGAUCUGACAAGAGGCGAGUCGUUUGCGGUGUUUCGGGGACACGUGAAAAGAAAGACAUAGGCGUUGGAGACAGUUAACGGAAGUAGUGAGGUGAAGCCAAUCAGCCCGCGUGCUACACAAACUGCGCGACGCGUUAUCAAUCGUUUCUUACAGUGGACGCAUCGUUACGAUUAGUGUCGUUUACCGUUUGCCUAAAUUUAUAGUACAACACCGCACAUAAAGGGCUUAGUAAACGCACUGGGGGGUUUAUUUCAACGGGGGACGUAUACUACGCUCGUACUAUGUCCCGAGAGGGCUUUAUUAGUAAAUCAAGCUAUUAACAGAAGCGGACGCACACACAAACACCUUGGCAAGCAAGUUUGAGCAGAUAUUAAGAAGCAAAAAAUGUACAGCAAAACAGGCAGCAGGUAGCAUACCAAAGCAGCAAUGCAGGCGUUUAGUAAGAUAAAAUAAGUAAACAGUAGCUGCGACAAAGCACACCUGUUUGGUUAGUAUGUCUUAUUGAUUUACAGAACACCUUAGGCAAGCAAAAAUGUAACACCACACGCCCGCACACAUUCCUGUCUUUGUACAUGUGUGCGUGCGUGUGUGUGUGUGUGUUUUUUUUUUUUACUUUACUUGUUUCUGCAGGAAAGGGGAGGACUGUGCAAAAAGUAAGAAGCGACCAGAAGAGACAGAUAGUUAGUUCGUACUACAAUUCGAAAUCUUACCUCUGAGCUCUUUGCGGAACCUGGCAACGUCUUUGGCUUUUAGGCAUACCUUCCCCCAAAAAACUGUAACGCUGCAUUGGUGUCUAUGUGUGUGUGUGUUUGUAUGUGUGUAUGUGUGUGUACGUGUGGUUCGUAUUUAGAGUAUUUGUGAUUAAACAAAAAACAAAAAAAAAACAAAAAAACAAACGCGAACAGAACGAACAUUCCCCAGCAUCGUACCGCAUUCGGCGACGACUCCAUGAGAUAUGCGCGUCGCAGUUUAGCGAACCGUUAGCAAGCUUUCUGUAGCGUGUUGGUGUGAGUGUGUGAGUGGGUGUGUAUUUUAAAAUAAUUUCAAAAUAAGUAGGUCGAAUUGAAGAAUGGUGCUUGUCUUAUUAGCAUAGAACGGAUUGGACACAACUGUCAUACGCCUAUUUCUGACAGCGUCACGCUGUAGGACAACUGACAUUGAUUUAAAAUUUACAUUUGCUAACAUUUAUCUUACACCCACACAUACAAAUACAAAUUAGUAAUCGAAUUCAAUCAAAACUCCUGAAUGUAUGACAUAGUUGCACCAUUUCUUUGUAUGCAGAAACCUGCAACGGACAAUAUGAAGCGCAUUCAUCCGUCAUACCCCAAAAUACCCCCAAAAUAAAAGCAACAACAUCAAAAACACACAGCCAACCACAUAUACACACAUACACACAUCCACAACACUCGAGAGUUGAAGCUGAGACUAGAGGGCAAUUAUUAAAAGAAUAAAGUUUAACGGAAGAAUAAUUGGGCGAAAACUUAGGAAAAAACAACAACAACAGCGAAAUGAUUAAUAAACAAACAUUCGCGUUACUUCGGUUUGCCUGUUUGUUUUAUUAUUUUUAUAUAACUUUGCUUACUUUACUGCCUUUGAGCCUUUGAUUUUUCUAACCGCAAAGUCGAGAGCAGUUGGUUACUAGGCGGACAGGAAAAAUAGAACAGAAAUGGUACAGAAACAGAACAUAUAAAAAAAAACAAAACAAAAAAACAAAACAAAAAACCACACGCGUAUCGUUAA
Anopheles arabiensis is the source of this 1883-nucleotide long non-coding RNA. RefSeq lists it as uncharacterized. NCBI's taxonomy places the organism in Eukaryota, Metazoa, Arthropoda, Insecta, Diptera, Culicidae. The record is from RefSeq and is a predicted model, not a curated record. The transcript is spliced from 2 exons.